GCCGGGAUGGCGGAAUUGGCAGACGCGCUGGAUUCAGGUUCCAGUGGAUGCAAAUCUGUGCGGGUUCAAAUCCCGCUCCCGGCA
Molecule: transfer RNA, 84 nt
Filed under: Desulfuromonas sp. SDB
Lineage: Bacteria; Pseudomonadati; Thermodesulfobacteriota; Desulfuromonadia; Desulfuromonadales; Desulfuromonadaceae
Also listed under: 2 other names
Description: tRNA-Leu
Rfam family: tRNA
About the family: Transfer RNA (tRNA) molecules are approximately 80 nucleotides in length. Their secondary structure includes four short double-helical elements and three loops (D, anti-codon, and T loops).
Source: RNAcentral